GACGAACCGUCCAACCGUUAUUCGGAAUUACUGGGCUCAAAGGGUGCGUAGGCGGCGCGGAAAGUUGGGUGUGAAAUCCCUCGGCUCAACCGAGGAACUGCGCCCAAUACUACCGUGCUUGAGGGAGAUAGAGGUGAGCGGAACUUAGGGUGGAGCGGUGAAAUGCGUUGAUAUCCUAAGGAACACCGGUGGCGAAAGCGGCUCACUGGAUCUCUUCUGACGCUGAGGCACGAAAGCUAGGGUAGCGAACGGG
Molecule: ribosomal RNA, 253 nt
Filed under: uncultured bacterium
Lineage: Bacteria
Description: partial 16S ribosomal RNA
Rfam family: Bacterial small subunit ribosomal RNA
Source: RNAcentral